GACAUACAAGUAGUAGGAAGGAAACUGGACCGACCCUUCGGGAGCUUGUACAGGUGCUGCAUGGCUGUCGUCAGCUCGUGUCGUGAGAUGUUCGGUUAAGUCCGCUAACGAGCGCAACCCUCGCUGUGUGUUACAAGUGUCACACGGAACUGCCGGUCAUAAACCGGAGGAAGGUGGGGAUGACGUCAAGUCAGCAUGGCCUUUAUAUCCUGGGCUACACACACGCUACAAUGGGAAGGGACAAUAGGUUGCGAAGCCGCGAGGCGGAGCCAAUCCAGCAAAACUUCCCUCAGUUCAGAUUGCAGGCUGCAACCCGCCUGCAUGAAGUUGGAGUUGCUAGUAAACGCAGGUCAGCCAUACUGCGUUGAAUACGUUCCCGGGGCUU
Molecule: ribosomal RNA, 385 nt
Filed under: uncultured Anaerolineaceae bacterium
Lineage: Bacteria; Bacillati; Chloroflexota; Anaerolineae; Anaerolineales; Anaerolineaceae
Description: bacterial SSU rRNA
Rfam family: Bacterial small subunit ribosomal RNA
Source: RNAcentral